RNAcentral lists this ribosomal RNA (497 nucleotides) under uncultured bacterium. RNAcentral describes it as "partial 16S ribosomal RNA". It matches the Rfam family "Bacterial small subunit ribosomal RNA", at positions 28 to 507 of the family's 1533-position model. The record is from RNAcentral.
GAUGAACGCUGGCGGCGUGCCUAAUACAUGCAAGUCGAGCGAACAGACGAGGAGCUUGCUCCUCUGACGUUAGCGGCGGACGGGUGAGUAACACGUGGAUAACCUACCUAUAAUACUGGUAUAACUUCGGGAAACCGGAGCUAAUACCGGAUAAUAUAUUGAACCGCAUGGUUCAAUAGUGAAAUACGGUUUUGCUGUCACUUAUAGAUGGAUCCGCGCCGCAUUAGCUAGUUGGUAAGGUAACGGCUUACCAAGGCAACGAUGCGUAGCCGACCUGAGAGGGUGAUGGCCCACACUGGAGCUGAGCCACGGUACAGAGUCCUAGGGGAGGCAGAGGCAGGGACGGGUCGGCGAUGGGCGAAAGCCUGCCGGAUGAACGCCACGCGAGUGAUGCGGGUCUUCGGAUCGUAAAACUCUGUUAUGAGGGAAGAACAAAUGUGUAAGUAACUAUGCACGACUUGACGGUACCUAAUCAGAAAGCCACGGCUAACUACGUG